This 802-nucleotide ribosomal RNA is filed under the name Cryptosporidium bovis. RNAcentral's name for it is "SSU rRNA". It matches the Rfam family "Eukaryotic small subunit ribosomal RNA", at positions 210 to 1071 of the family's 1831-position model. Lineage: Eukaryota; Apicomplexa; Conoidasida; Eucoccidiorida; Cryptosporidiidae. The record is from RNAcentral.
UUAGAUAAAGAACCAAUAUUUUUGGUGACUCAUAAUAACUUUACGGAUCACAUUAUGUGACAUAUCAUUCAAGUUUCUGACCUAUCAGCUUUAGACGGUAGGGUAUUGGCCUACCGUGGCUAUGACGGGUAACGGGGAAUUAGGGUUCGAUUCCGGAGAGGGAGCCUGAGAAACGGCUACCACAUCUAAGGAAGGCAGCAGGCGCGCAAAUUACCCAAUCCUAAUACAGGGAGGUAGUGACAAGAAAUAACAAUACAGAACCUUACGGUUUUGUAAUUGGAAUGAGUUAAGUAUAAACCCCUUAACAAGUAUCAAUUGGAGGGCAAGUCUGGUGCCAGCAGCCGCGGUAAUUCCAGCUCCAAUAGCGUAUAUUAAAGUUGUUGCAGUUAAAAAGCUCGUAGUUAAUCUUCUGUUAAUUUUUAUAUAUAAUAUUUCGAUAUUUAUAUAAUAUUAACAUAAUUCAUAUUACUUUUUAGUAUAUGAAACUUUACUUUGAGAAAAUUAGAGUGCUUAAAGCAGGCUAUUGCCUUGAAUACUCCAGCAUGGAAUAAUAUUAAGGAUUUUUAUUCUUCUUAUUGGUUCUAGAAUAAAAAUGAUGAUUAAUAGGAACAGUUGGGGGCAUUUGUAUUUAACAGUCAGAGGUGAAAUUCUUAGAUUUGUUAAAGACAAACUACUGCGAAAGCAUUUGCCAAGGAUGUUUUCAUUAAUCAAGAACGAAAGUUAGGGGAUCGAAGACGAUCAGAUACCGUCGUAGUCUUAACCAUAAACUAUGCCAACUAGAGAUUGGAGGUUGUUCCUUACU